Molecule: long non-coding RNA, 1512 nt
Organism: Marmota flaviventris (yellow-bellied marmot)
Lineage: Eukaryota; Metazoa; Chordata; Mammalia; Rodentia; Sciuridae
Source: RefSeq, a predicted model, not a curated record
GUAUGGCUCUUGUCUCAUUUCUGCCAUCAACUUGCUGUGUGACCUUAGGGAAACCACUUGCUCUCUCUGGGCCUUAGUUUACUCACGUCUAAAAUGAAGGGUUGAUAGAUCAGGGUCAGUAAACUUUCUACAGGACUGGAUAGCAUUUUAGGCUUUUCAGGACACUUGUGUCUCUGUAACGCAGUUGUACCUCCCCAACUCUAAAAAUGUUAACACUGGGAAUAUAGCUAGGCGGUACAGCAUUUGCCUAGUUUGCACAGGGCCCUGGGGUUGAUCCCCAGCAUCACAAGAAAAAAAAUAAAAAAUAAAAACUAUUCUUAGCUCAUGGGUCAUAUAUCAGCAGGCCAGAUCUGAUCUGCAGGCAAUAGUCUGUCAAGCUUAGAGUUAGAGAAAUGGAAUCCAACCUGCGUUCUGCAGAACACCCCACCAGAUGCCCAUCAGACCAGUUCUAGCUCUGCCUUUAUCGAAACCCUAGGGUUCUACCUGAAGGAAUUCUCCUAAGAAAACAAACAGUAAACCACUGGCUCACGUGGCCCUGAGGAAUCCUGGUGGUCCAGCCGGCUGUGUGCGCCAGUAACACAAAAGCCAUUCUGCAACAGGGCCCUUUUCUGGCUCCGCAUCUGAGGCCUUCCACCCUCCGGGGGAUUUCCCCUCUCUCUCUGCUCCCUGGAAAUGUCCCAACAGUGUCACCAACUGCACCUCUCACCUCCCAGUCAAGGAUGAUGAAGUCAAGGCCAACAGAGCUUCAAUAACUUGCCCAAUGCAUACAGCUGGAAAGCAGCAGAGCUGGGUUCAGAUCCAAGCCCUCCUGGGCCUGGGAACAGCACUGGCUCCCCAGUGAGUGGUGCCCCGGUGCUUCCUCAGCACAAAGUGCAGUGCACAUAUGUUGGGGAGGCAACCCAACCCCCAGCUGCUGGAGAGAAUGGGCAUCCAACAAAGGCAGACGCGGAAGAAGAGACCAAGGCCAGCUGCUCCCCCACCUCCGUCUCUCUGCGCAGAGGGCCCUACCUGAGGAUGGCUCAAGCUCCAAGAUGGCAGGAUAUAUCUGCAGGUUCUCCUGGAAGAGGAAGAGAAGGCAGCUCAUGGCCCUGGGCAGCUGGACACUAAUGUAUGGGUUGGUGUGACUGCAGGGACACAUGUGGCUGCCACUGUCCACGUGCGGAAGCUCAAACUCCGGGCUCCACGUGCACCCUGCCUGGCCUGUGGCGGGCGGCGCUGUUCUGGCUGUCAGACCCCAGGUCUGUUUUCAGGAAGAGCACCUUGGCUUUCCUUUGGGAAAUCCCCCUCCCCAGCCUCAGGUCAUGUGGUUUUGGGGGAGCGCCCUUCCCCAGCUCAAGUGGCUGAGCUUGUGAUGCAGCGUGGAAAGGCAGAGUGACACAGUCCUGCCACGAGGCCUCAGCCCUUCCCCACCACACACCUGCAACAAAACCUGUGGGUGUCGGGCUGGGGGUUGUGGCUCAGUGGCUGAGCACUUGCCCAGCAUUUGUGGGGCACGGGGUUUGAUUCUCAGCA